This 464-nucleotide ribosomal RNA is filed under the name uncultured Klebsiella sp. RNAcentral's name for it is "bacterial SSU rRNA". It matches the Rfam family "Bacterial small subunit ribosomal RNA", at positions 338 to 795 of the family's 1533-position model. The record is from RNAcentral. Lineage: Bacteria; Pseudomonadati; Pseudomonadota; Gammaproteobacteria; Enterobacterales; Enterobacteriaceae.
CCUACGGGCGGCCGCAGUGGGGAAUAUUGCACAAUGGGCGCAAGCCUGAUGCAGCCAUGCCGCGUGUGUGAAGAAGGCCUUCGGGUUGUAAAGCACUUUCAGCGGGGAGGAAGGCGUUAAGGUUAAUAACCUUGGCGAUUGACGUUACCCGCAGAAGAAGCACCGGCUAACUCCGUGCCAGCAGCCGCGGUAAUACGGAGGGUGCAAGCGUUAAUCGGAAUUACUGGGCGUAAAGCGCACGCAGGCGGUCUGUCAAGUCGGAUGUGAAAUCCCCGGGCUCAACCUGGGAACUGAUUUGGAAACUGGCAGGCUAGAGUCUUGUAGAGGGGGGGAGAAUUCCAGGUGUAGCGGUGAAAUGCGUAGAGAUCUGGAGGAAUACCGGUGGCGAAGGCGGCCCCCUGGACAAAGACUGACGCUCAGGUGCGAAAGCGUGGGGAGCAAACGGGAUAGAUACCCUGGUAGUC